AGGAGCCCUAGGCAAUAUGUACUAAGUAGACUUUCAUGAACUCAACGAGAUGCUGCAAGAGAUAAAAUAAUGAGAUGCUACAUCGUAGGAUCUGUCUCUGAGUCCACAUUGCGGGAGAAAAGACCAUUCUUCGGAAAGAUGCAGAGGAAGCCCCGUACCUCCCUCAAGGGAUUGAGAUGGGAGACUGAGGGAAUCCUGGGGUCUCUGCCCUCUCCCUCACUGGGAAACAAGCUCUGUUUCUUCAUGUGCCGGAGCCCUGCCUCUGUGGGUGCAGCCUGAGGACAAAGGCAGUGCUGCAUCCCCUGAUCCCCUACCCCCUACAACCUCCUGCCCAGCCUCUCGGGUGCUCCUCAGCUUGUCAUCAGGGAGGAAGCAGCCAUCUCCUGCGAUGACUGACUUCAAGCCUCAACUUUCCCACAGCUUCUCAAAAGCCAAGGCUGAGGCCAAGUUCUAGCUGCUGCCUUGGGACAGGUCAAGGGCCUCCUGCAAUCUCAUGCAUAAACUGGUACCCAUGAGCAUGUGGUCUAAGAGAUUUAUUGACCCCUCUCCAAGUCCUUGCGAGAGGAAUCCUGCACACCUAUAUCCACAAUGAAGGGAGCCAUAUCCCCAGCUGGGUAGCCAUAUCCCUAAUGAUAUCACUUAUGAAAGGUGACAAGUCCUUUCUACCACUCUUAUUUAAGUGAAAAUAUAU
RNAcentral lists this long non-coding RNA (691 nucleotides) under Pan troglodytes (chimpanzee). RNAcentral describes it as "long non-coding RNA NONPTRT015132". Lineage: Eukaryota; Metazoa; Chordata; Mammalia; Primates; Hominidae. The record is from RNAcentral.